RNAcentral lists this ribosomal RNA (553 nucleotides) under uncultured bacterium. Its description in RNAcentral is "partial 16S ribosomal RNA". It matches the Rfam family "Bacterial small subunit ribosomal RNA", at positions 355 to 900 of the family's 1533-position model. The record is from RNAcentral.
UAGGGAAUCUUCCACAAUGGACGCAAGUCUGAUGGAGCAACGCCGCGUGAGUGAAGAAGGUUUUCGGACCGUAAAGCUCUGUUGUUGGUGAAGAAGGAUAGAGGUAGUAACUGGCCUUUAUUUGACGGUAAUCAACCAGAAAGUCACGGCUAACUACGUGCCAGCAGCCGCGGUAAUCGUAGGUGGCAAGCGUUGUCCGGAUUUAUUGGGCGUAAAGCGAGCGCAGGCGGAAGAAUAAGUCUGAUGUGAAAGCCCUCGGCUUAACCGAGGAAUUGCAUCGGAAACUGUUUUCUUGAGUGCAGAAGAGGAGAGUAGAACUCCAUGUGUAGCGGUGAAAUGCGUAGAUAUAUGGAAGAAUACCAGUGGCGAAGGCGGCUCUCUGGUCUGCAACUGACGCUGAGGCUCGAAAGCAUGGGUAGCGAACAGGAUUAGAUACCCUGGUAGUCCAUGCCGUAAACGAUGAGUGCUAAGUGUUGGGAGGCUUCCGCCUCUCAGUGCUGCAGCUAACGCAUUAAGCACUCCGCCUGGGGGAGUACGACCGCAAGGUUGAAAC